Molecule: long non-coding RNA, 250 nt
Organism: Camelus dromedarius (Arabian camel)
Lineage: Eukaryota; Metazoa; Chordata; Mammalia; Artiodactyla; Camelidae
Exons: 3
Source: RefSeq, a predicted model, not a curated record
AGGACCAGGACCAAUACACACAGCUAUCAAGUAAUUUCAAGCAAAAGCAGCUCCAGCAGCCAAAGGCCGUUCCGUAAGAAGGUUGAAGGACAAGACAGAAGACGCACAGAACAGCCUCCACCUUGUGUUGACCUGAAAUAGACCUCCAGAUCUUUCUCCAGGCUUAUUCAGGAUCAGCCAAAAGUUGCACUUCAGGAUCUGCAACCUGGGUGAGCCACUUUUAUGCUCCUACACAGCAAGGUAAGGAGAA